CGAGUCCUAAAUAGGACGAAAUGCGCAUCCUGGAU
Molecule: non-coding RNA, 35 nt
Filed under: Trichobilharzia regenti
Lineage: Eukaryota; Metazoa; Platyhelminthes; Trematoda; Strigeidida; Schistosomatidae
Source: RNAcentral